This 487-nucleotide ribosomal RNA is filed under the name uncultured bacterium. Its description in RNAcentral is "bacterial SSU rRNA". It matches the Rfam family "Bacterial small subunit ribosomal RNA", at positions 30 to 507 of the family's 1533-position model. The record is from RNAcentral.
AUUGAACGCUGGCGGCAUGCUUUACACAUGCAAGUCGAACGGCAGGCGCGGGGGCAACCCUGGCGGCGAGUGGCGAACGGGUGAGUAAUGUAUCGGAACGUAUCCUGUAAUGGGGGAUAACCAGUCGAAAGAUUGGGUAAUACCGCAUACGCACGAGAGUGGAAAGUAGGGGAUCGCAAGACCUUACGUUAUAGGACGCGGCCGAUAUCUGAUUAGCUAGUUGGUGGGGUAAAGGCCUACCAAGGCGACGAUCAGUAGCUGGUCUGAGAGGACGACCAGCCACACUGGGACUGAGACACGGCCCAGACUCCUACGGGAGGCAGCAGUGGGGAAUUUUGGACAAUGGGCGAAAGCCUGAUCCAGCCAUGCCGCGUGCAGGAAGAAGGCCUUCGGGUUGUAAACUGCUUUAGUCUAGGAAAAAGGGGUGCGAGGUUAAUACCCUCGUGCUUUGAUGGUACUGGAAGAAUAAGCACCGGCUAACUACGUG